This 253-nucleotide ribosomal RNA is filed under the name uncultured bacterium. RNAcentral's name for it is "partial 16S ribosomal RNA". It matches the Rfam family "Bacterial small subunit ribosomal RNA", at positions 524 to 776 of the family's 1533-position model. The record is from RNAcentral.
GACAGAGGGUGCAACCGUUGUUCGGAAUCACUGGGCGUAAAGCGUGUGUAGGCGGCUUCUCAAGUCGGGUGUGAAAUCCCAGGGCUCAACCCUGGAAGUGCAUUCGAAACUGGGUAGCUAGAGUACUGGAGAGGAAGGUGGAAUGCUUGGUGUAGAGGUGAAAUUCGUAGAUAUCAAGCGGAACACCGGUGGCGAAGGCGGCCUUCUGGACAGAUACUGACGCUGAGACACGAAAGCGUGGGGAGCAAACAGG